ACUCCUACGGGAGGCAGCAGUGGGGAAUAUUGCACAAUGGGGGAAACCCUGAUGCAGCCAUGCCGCGUGUGUGAAGAAGGCCUUCGGUUGUAAAGCACUUUCAGUAGGGAGGAAGGUAGUGUAGUUAACACCUGCACUAUUUGACGUUACCUACAGAAGAAGCACCGGCUAACUCCGUGCCAGCAGCCGCGGUAAUACGGAGGGUGCGAGCGUUAAUCGGAAUUACUGGGCGUAAAGCGCAUGCAGGCGGCCUGUUAAGUCAGAUGUGAAAGCCCGGGGCUUAACCUCGGAAUUGCAUUUGAAACUGGCAGGCUAGAGUCUUGUAGAGGGGGGUAGAAUUUCAGGUGUAGCGGUGAAAUGCGUAGAGAUCUGAAGGAAUACCAGUGGCGAAGGCGGCCCCCUGGACAAAGACUGACGCUCAGAUGCGAAAGCGU
This 434-nucleotide ribosomal RNA is filed under the name uncultured bacterium. Its description in RNAcentral is "bacterial SSU rRNA". It matches the Rfam family "Bacterial small subunit ribosomal RNA", at positions 335 to 762 of the family's 1533-position model. The record is from RNAcentral.